RNAcentral lists this long non-coding RNA (1105 nucleotides) under Homo sapiens (human). RNAcentral describes it as "HSALNT0150717". Lineage: Eukaryota; Metazoa; Chordata; Mammalia; Primates; Hominidae. The record is from RNAcentral.
AUCCUGGGUAAUAAGUCAGCCCUCUUUUUCUGUGCAAACUUCCUACAGCUACCCCUUGCUACACUGAUUACAUUUAAACGGUAACAUCCUCUUAACUGAUUACUGAAGCAACGGAUGGAUCACGUGACCUAGACAGAUCUCAAAAAUGGGAGACCACAUGCAAAGGAAACUACGUUUUCACAACACAUGGUUGGAGAGGUCAAAGAAAAUGUGAUGUAUUACUUUCAGUUUUAUCAUCAGCGGGACCAUCUGGGGCUAGUGGUGGGGCUCGAAGAAGGAAGAAGAAAAUAAAGAAGAGAAUCAGGAAGGGGCUUUGGGGAAAACUUUCCAUUUUUCUAAAUCUUUUCCAACCAGUAGUGUGAAAAAGACAAUUUUGUAAAUUGAGGUUCUUGGGCAUUGUCAUAAUUUAUAAAGAUGAUAGAAAGAGAUGAGAUAACAGAGGAAAAAGAUAUAUGUUCCAUUAAUGUACUUCAAGGCUAUGAGAACAUACCUGAACAAAUAUGCUACACUGAGCAGAAGACACCAUAGCACUUCUAAGAAAAGAGGAUGCUUCCUCAACCAUGAAGUUCCCAUAGAGAUGCCUACUUAACCCUGGAUUGCCAUAAAGAUUCUGACACUUUCUUCAAGCAGCUCCUGUUUACCAUUCACCUAGGUGGUCUUAAUCUCUUCUGCACUUUCCCAGUUGUUUUGAAUACUUCAGGCAUGAGUCUUCUUACUAACCAGUUGCAAGUAAGAAGUAAAAACCAUAAGAAAUUCCUGUUUUUGGAGAGAUUGUCUAGGUCAAAGUUCACUUUUUCAAGCAUUCUACCACACUAGCCUGCCUCAGUUCUAACUUAAGUUCUUCUCCUGCAGAUCCCCAAAGUAGAGAGACUGAAUUACAGCAAUGACCUCGACUUGCAUUUACUAGGUAUGAAAUACAGAAGGUUCAGUUUCUUCUUUCCUGAUUUUCUUCACAGUUUUCUUGUGACACCUCUUCCACCAACAUUAUACAUAAGGACAAGAAAUCCUGCCGUAGGGCCAUAUUUGAGGGUUGAUUGGUUCUAUAAGACUGCUUUCUGCAGCUUUCACAGCUUUGGGUUGAUUGUGUCUGGUGUGUGCAGGAGAU